RNAcentral lists this ribosomal RNA (468 nucleotides) under uncultured bacterium. Its description in RNAcentral is "partial 16S ribosomal RNA". It matches the Rfam family "Bacterial small subunit ribosomal RNA", at positions 28 to 507 of the family's 1533-position model. The record is from RNAcentral.
GACGAACGCUGGCGGCGUGCUUAACACAUGCAAGUCGAACGGAAAGGCCCUGCUUUUGUGGGGUGCUCGAGUGGCGAACGGGUGAGUAACACGUGAGUAACCUGCCCUUGACUUUGGGAUAACUUCAGGAAACUGGGGCUAAUACCGGAUAGGAGCUCCUGCUGCAUGGUGGGGGUUGGAAAGUUUCGGCGGUUGGGGAUGGACUCGCGGCUUAUCAGCUUGUUGGUGGGGUAGUGGCUUACCAAGGCUUUGACGGGUAGCCGGCCUGAGAGGGUGACCGGCCACAAUGGGACUGAGAUACGGACCAGACUCCUACGGGAGGCAACAGUGGGGAAUAUUGCACAAUGGGCGGAAGCCUGAUGCAGCAACGCCGCGUGCGGGAUGACGGCCUUCGGGUUGUGAACCGCUUUCGCCUGUGACGAAGCGUGAGUGACGGUAAUGGGUAAAGAAGCACCGGCUAACUACGUG